Molecule: ribosomal RNA, 363 nt
Filed under: Triticum aestivum (bread wheat)
Lineage: Eukaryota; Viridiplantae; Streptophyta; Magnoliopsida; Poales; Poaceae
Description: partial small subunit ribosomal RNA
Source: RNAcentral
AUGGUGCAAGGCUGCUGGCAAUUAUCGCUCGGUAAUCAAAAUGCCUGUGCUGAUAGACUAGUUGAGUUGAGUCAGGUGAUGGUACAUAGACAAUGGCAACACCAAAGCCAGUUUCAGUAUUUAUGUACCAGUCCAUACUUGAUGCUUACACACAAAGAAGUGACAUUUGCGUUACUGGACCUUGAAGGCCUGAACUUCUUUAAAACCAACCCCUUCAACAUCUUAGUCUUGACUACCAGGUGCACACAGUCAUUAGGAUUGCCUCUGGCUGUCUGGCAUGGGCUAGAAACAAGUGUGUAUUUCGAAGACCAGUAUCAUCUCACCUUGUGCGGCUCACUAAUAAAUGUGGCUGCCAGAAGGUGA